Molecule: long non-coding RNA, 584 nt
Organism: Pectinophora gossypiella (pink bollworm)
Lineage: Eukaryota; Metazoa; Arthropoda; Insecta; Lepidoptera; Gelechiidae
Exons: 3
Source: RefSeq, a predicted model, not a curated record
AUUAUUAGUCAGUUCCUGUGUGAUUGUCUGGGAAUAAACACGUUUAUUAUUAUUUAAUAAUAUUCAAUAAUAAUUAUUGUGCAAGGAAGCCGAUCUGGAGUGUUUUGGCAGCUCUAUAUUCAGACUUGCCCGAAGGCAUUGACGAGGCCUAAGAAGGAGCGAGCUCGCCCAGAAGGUUCCUGUUCACUCUGGCCUUGAAAGCACCCGGGUUUUAUGCAUUCGGAAAUACAGAAGACGGCAGAGAAUUCCAUUCCCGAGCAGUGCGCAUGAUGAAGGACGAUGCGAAGCGCUUUGUGCGAAUAAUUGGGAUAUCCACCAAAUAGGGAUGGAACCCGGCCGUACGUCUGGAAGUCCGGUGUGUCAUUAGAUGGUGCGACCACGUUGGUCUAACAGAAAGCUCGGGGAGGCAUGGGUACUUAGUUCAUCUCGCGAUGGAUGUACCUCUGACUACCACAAUUGGGAUAUAGUCGUGAGCUUAGAUAUUAUGUUAUGUGAGUUUGAAUCUCUGAGGUAAAAUCCAUCAGGCUCUCUCAGACUAAAUUCGUUAUUUAUAUAUUUAGAUAGGUAUAACAACAGUACACAUA